This 689-nucleotide long non-coding RNA is filed under the name Crocodylus porosus (Australian saltwater crocodile). RNAcentral describes it as "lncRNA (ENSCPRG00005002098.1)". Lineage: Eukaryota; Metazoa; Chordata; Crocodylia; Crocodylidae. The record is from RNAcentral.
AUGUAUUAUCAACUUUUGGCCAAGAUCAACACCUUAACAUAUGUGCAAGUGACGACGUGGAGGAGCAUGGUAAUUACAAUUAGAUCCUGUACUAACUUUCUGUCCCUCUGUGCAACAACGCUAAAGAUAGAAGGAAGUUCCUUGAGACAAUGUGAAGACUCAGUGAAAGCAAGCUGUGUGUGGCAUUGGACUGUAGUGAAGAGAUGUCUUGUAAUUUGGUAUGUGCUUGCUUUGUAGAGUUUUCAUCCAUGUAAGUAGCUGUGUGAAGGAGGAGCACUGCAUUAUCCCCCUACAGCAUCAACUGCAACAAGAGCCAGAGAGGAGGGAUGUGCAACAAGCAAUUUCAAAGCUCUCUGAGAUGAAAUAAGGAUCAUAAAACUCACAAUUUGCAAAUAGUCUCUGUCUGCUUAAAACCUUAACACAUUUAUCUUUUGAUGUUUACCACCAAACUGCAGAUUCUGGUAAUAUAAACUUAUUGAUCCUUACUAUCACGGUUUUUUUUCGAAAAUAAUAGCUUGUUCUUUGUCCUUCUAUGUUUCCUCAGAUUCCCUUCCCCUCCGAAACCCUGGCCCCUGCCCACCUGCCUUUUUUCCCCAAAUCUUUUAUGAAUCCUGUGUAUAAUGGGCUAAUUUUAUGCACUAAGUAGGCAUGACAGUCAGCCAAUUAGAAAAACUGGAUUUGAACAUAGG